CAGUAGCCGCGGGAAUACAGAGGGUGCGAGCGUUAAUCGGAUUUACUGGGCGUAAAGCGUGCGUAGGCGGCUUUUUAAGUCGGAUGUGAAAUCCCUGAGCUUAACUUAGGAAUUGCAUUCGAUACUGGGAAGCUAGAGUAUGGGAGAGGAUGGUAGAAUUCCAGGUGUAGCGGUGAAAUGCGUAGAGAUCUGGAGGAAUACCGAUGGCGAAGGCAGCCAUCUGGCCUAAUACUGACGCUGAGGUACGAAAGCAUGGGGAGCAAACAGGAUUAGAUACCCCAGUAGUCCCUGUAUCUUAUAA
This 301-nucleotide ribosomal RNA is filed under the name uncultured bacterium. Its description in RNAcentral is "partial 16S ribosomal RNA". It matches the Rfam family "Bacterial small subunit ribosomal RNA", at positions 509 to 809 of the family's 1533-position model. The record is from RNAcentral.